This 541-nucleotide ribosomal RNA is filed under the name Trigonopterus sp. 823 AR-2022a. RNAcentral's name for it is "partial large subunit ribosomal RNA". The stretch from base 390 to 541 matches the Rfam family "Bacterial large subunit ribosomal RNA", at positions 2473 to 2625 of the family's 2925-position model. Lineage: Eukaryota; Metazoa; Arthropoda; Insecta; Coleoptera; Curculionidae. The record is from RNAcentral.
GGCUUGUUGAUUAUAAUUUUAAGUCUGGCCUGCCCAAUGAUUAAUUUUAAUGGCCGCGGUAUAUUGACUGUGCAAAGGUAGCAUAAUCAUUAGUUUUUUAAUUGAAAGCUUGUAUGAAAGGUUUAAUGAAAAAGUUUCUGUCUCUAGAUGAAUUUAUUAGAAUUUUAUUUUUAAGUUAAAAAGCUUAAAUUUUUAUUGAAGACGAGAAGACCCUAUAGAGUUUUAUACUAAUAUUAUUAGUUAAAUUUUAAAGAGUUAAAAAGUUUAUUUAUUAUAUUUGUAUUUAGUUGGGGUGAUGGAAAAAUUUGUUUAACUUUUUUUUAUUAAGAAACAUUUAUUUAUGAGUUUAUGAUCCUUAGUUUAAGAUUAAAAGAAAAAAUUACCUUAGGGAUAACAGCGUAAUUUUUUCUAGAGUUCUUAUCGAAGAUAAAGUUUGCGACCUCGAUGUUGGAUUAAAAUUAAUUAUUGGUGUAGAAGCUUAAUAGAUUAGGUCUGUUCGACCUUUGAAAUUUUACAUGAUCUGAGUUUAAACCGGUGUGAG